Molecule: ribosomal RNA, 572 nt
Filed under: uncultured rumen bacterium
Lineage: Bacteria
Description: bacterial SSU rRNA
Rfam family: Bacterial small subunit ribosomal RNA
Source: RNAcentral
AACUCAAAGGAAUUGACGGGGGCCGCACAAGCGAGGAACAUGUGGUUUAAUUCGAUGAUACGCGAGGAACCUUACCGGGCUUGAACUGCAGCGGAAGGAUACAGAGAUGUUGACGUCCUUCGGGACCGCUGUGGAGGUGCUGCAUGGUUGUCGUCAGCUCGUGCCGUGAGGUGUCGGCUUAAGUGCCAUAACGAGCGCAACCCUUUUCAUCAGUUGCCAUCAGGUGAUGCUGGGCACUCUGGUGAUACUGCCACCGUAAGGUGUGAGGAAGGUGGGGAUGACGUCAAAUCAGCACGGCCCUUACGUCCGGGGCUACACACGUGUUACAAUGGGGCAUACAGAAGGCGGGACCAUGGCAACAUGGUUCAAAUCUUUAAAGUGCUCCUCAGUUCGGAUUGGGGUCUGCAACCCGACCCCAUGAAGCUGGAUUCGCUAGUAAUCGCGCAUCAGCCAUGGCGCGGUGAAUACGUUCCCGGGCCUUGUACACACCGCCCGUCAAGCCAUGAAAGCCGGGGGCGCUUGAAGUCCGUGACCGUAAGGAUCGGCCUAGAGCGAAACUGGUAAUUGGGGCU